RNAcentral lists this long non-coding RNA (442 nucleotides) under Mus spicilegus (steppe mouse). RNAcentral describes it as "lncRNA (ENSMSIG00000012260.1)". The record is from RNAcentral. Lineage: Eukaryota; Metazoa; Chordata; Mammalia; Rodentia; Muridae.
AAAUAAUUUAGCCCACGCACCUGCACAGAAAACCCACAUCAACGAGUUUGCUUCGGCAGUCAGGCUGGGGAACCAAAGGCUAAGCCUGAAAGCAAACGUGAAAUCAAAUACGAAAAUUGCACAGCAGCCCCGCAGGAGUCAGCUAUCCAGAGGCCCCGCUGAAACCCCAUCUGUCAGGAAAUUUGAACUUCUUAAAGAAAUGGAAUGACUUUAUCUACACCUGGGACAGAAUUUAGUAACAUUUGUGUAAAAUUAAACCAUUGUAACAGAAAAUAGUAAUUUGGGAGAUUAAAUUAUUUAUACGUUAAUUUAACAGCCAAUAUGUUUUAAUGCGCUUGUGUUUUGUUUUUCUCUGCUCUCUUAUUAAAUAUCAUUUGGAAUAUCACACUGUCAUCCUUGGCUUGCCUGCAAAGUCAUAGAAAUAAAUGUGCUGACUUAUCCA